Molecule: ribosomal RNA, 443 nt
Filed under: uncultured bacterium
Lineage: Bacteria
Description: partial 16S ribosomal RNA
Rfam family: Bacterial small subunit ribosomal RNA
Source: RNAcentral
CCUACGGGUGGCAGCAGUGGGGAAUAUUGGGCAAUGGGCGCAAGCCUGACCCAGCAACGCCGCGUGAAGGAAGAAGGCUUUCGGGUUGUAAACUUCUUUUCUCAGGGACGAAGCAAGUGACGGUACCUGAGGAAUAAGCCACGGCUAACUACGUGCCAGCAGCCGCGGUAAUACGGAGGUGGCAAGCGUUAUCCGGAUUUACUGGGUUUAAAGGGCGUGUAGGCGGGACUGUAAGUCAGAUGUGAAAACCAUGGGCUCAACCUAUGGCCUGCCUUUGAAACUGUAGUUCUUGAGUACUGGAGAGGCAGACGGAAUGCCUAGUGUAGCGGUGAAAUGCGUAGAUAUUAGGAGGAACACCAGUGGCGAAGGCGGUUUGCUGGACAGCAACUGACGCUGAGGCGCGAAAGCGUGGGGAGCAAACAGGAUUAGAUACCCGUGUAGUC